RNAcentral lists this long non-coding RNA (1428 nucleotides) under Anas platyrhynchos platyrhynchos (common mallard). RNAcentral describes it as "lncRNA (ENSAPLG00000018501.1)". The record is from RNAcentral. Lineage: Eukaryota; Metazoa; Chordata; Aves; Anseriformes; Anatidae.
AUGAGGAAUAAAAUGGAUGAGCUAGAAGUCCUGGCCCAGUCCCGCAACUACGACAUCAUCGGCAUAAGCGAAACCUGGUGGGAUGAGUCCUGUGACUGGGGUGUUGCGAUAGAUGGUUACAGGCUCUUCAGGAGGGACAGGCAGGGUAGGCGAGGUGGUGGGGUGGCGAUGUAUGUGAAGCAGGGGCUGGAUUGUGUGGAACUUCAGGUUGGCAAUGGCAAAGUUGAGAGCCUCUGGGUAAGGAUCAAGGGACGAACGAAUAAAGGGGAUGUCAUUGUGGGAGUCUAUUACAGACCGCCUGGCCAGGACGAUAGCGCCGAUAAAUUAUUCUUUACAGAACUAAGAGAGGCCUCGAGAUUAACUCCCCUUGUCCUUAUGGGGGACUUCAACUUGCCAGACGUUAACUGGGAGUGCCACACGGCUGACACGAGCAAGUCCAGGAGGUUCAUGAAGCACCUAGACGAUAACUUCUUGGUGCAGGUGCUAACGGAGCCAACUAGGAAAGGCGCCCUCCUAGACCUGUUGCUAGAAAACAGAGAGGGUCUGGUGGGAGAUGUGGUGAUUGGUGGCCGCCUCGGUCAUAGCGACCAUGAAGUGGUUGAGUUCAAAAUUUACGGUGACAGAAGGAAAAGUGCCACCAAAACCUCAUCCCUAGAUAUGGGGAAAGCGGACUUCAGGCUGCUCAGGGAACUAGUCAGCAAGGUCCCCUGGGAAACUGCUCUUGAAGGCCUCGAUGUCCACCAGUGCUGGUCAUUCUUUAAGCGAUGCCUCCUAGAAGCACAAGAUCAGGCAAUUCCUAAAUAUCGCAAGUCAGGCAGGCGGGGCAGGAGCAUUCUGAUGGAGAUUAGGCAGAAACAGAGAGUGUUUCGCUACUGGAAGGAGGGCCAGGUGUCAUGGAAAGAAUACAGGGAUGCUGUUCGUGUUUGUAGGGAGAAAAUUCGUGUGGCUAAAGCACACCUAGAGUUGAAGCUGGCUGUGUCUGUGAGAGAAAAUAAAAAGGUUUUUUUUAGAUAUGUGAAUGGAAAAAGGAGAACUAAAGAAUACAUAGGGCCGCUCCUUGAUAGGGAAGGUCUCCUCACAGACAAUGACAUAGGCAAAGCAGAAACGCUUAACGUCUUCUUUGCCUCUGUCUUCAAUGCCGAUGAUGGGCUUCGGGACCCAGGGUGCCCUGAGCUGGAGGACCGGGACGGUGGGGAUGACAAACUCCCAACCGACCCUGAACGUGUGCGGGAUCUGCUACUCCACCUGGAUCCCUACAAGUCCAUGGGUCCAGAUGGGAUUCAUCCCAGGGUGCUGAAAGAGCUGGCGGACAUCAUCGCGGAACCUCUCAAUUAUUUUUCAACGAUCCUGGGAAUCUGGAGAGGUCCUGGUAGACUGGAAGCUGGCAAAUGUGCCGAUUUUCAAGAAGGGUCAGAAAGAAGACCCUAG